RNAcentral lists this non-coding RNA (138 nucleotides) under Leptolyngbya valderiana. RNAcentral describes it as "TPP sequence". It matches the Rfam family "TPP riboswitch aptamer (THI element)". Rfam says of the family: Vitamin B(1) in its active form thiamin pyrophosphate (TPP) is an essential coenzyme that is synthesised by coupling of pyrimidine and thiazole moieties in bacteria. The previously detected thiamin-regulatory element, thi box was extended, resulting in a new, highly conserved RNA secondary structure, the THI element, which is widely distributed in eubacteria and also occurs in some archaea. The record is from RNAcentral. Lineage: Bacteria; Bacillati; Cyanobacteriota; Cyanophyceae; Leptolyngbyales; Leptolyngbyaceae.
GUGAAGUCCUGGGGGUGUCCCUGUCGCGGUGCGUCCGACGCGCUGCGGCCCGGGGGCUGAGAUACCGUCCGGCUAGGCGGUGACCCAUCGAACCUGAUCCGGAUCAUGCCGGCGCAGGGAAAGGACGGCGCGCCGCGG